This 1935-nucleotide long non-coding RNA is filed under the name Gallus gallus (chicken). The record is from RNAcentral. Lineage: Eukaryota; Metazoa; Chordata; Aves; Galliformes; Phasianidae.
CGACCGCUUCGCCAGAGCUCGGCUCCGGCCCUCGCCCCGCGCCCAGGCCCCGGGCCGCGGAAAGCCUCGCGUCCUAUUGGCUGCAGGAGGGAGGACGGCGCGGGGCGGAGCGCUGAUUGGUCGCCGGGCGAUGCUGCGACCCGCCCCUCGGGGGUCGCGUGACGCCAGGUGGACGGGGGCUCGUGCCCCGGCGGGCGCUGAGGUGGUUCUGGCGGUCGGGGGGUGUUGUCGUGCUGCUCAGCACAGCUUUCGUUCCUCUGUACUCGGCGGAGUUUUUAUGCGUUGCCCUCAGGUGGGAUGAAUUUGACUGCAACAAAAGUCCACUGAGAUGCGUCAGUGUUUCCCGAAGGCUCUUAAUCUCUUAUAACUUCCUCUCCUUUUGGGGGCAGAGCUCCCAUCAGUGCGUACCGCACUGCAGCUGAUGGCGUUCACCCUCUGACACUUUGUUUCUGCUCGAUGUAACGCGAGGGUUUGGGGCGCCGCAGAACUACGUGGUUUCAUGGCAUCGUUUUUAGUUUAGAUCGGCAAAUCGUUAACAAUUACUUUCUGCUUAUCCGUAUCUUCGGAGUCUGGGGACGAGAUCCUUCCUCUUGCGAUCCAUCGGCACCUGAAGGAUCUCUGAAAGGAAACCGGUGGAACGUGUGAGGGCUUCCUCUGGCGGAAAAGAACAAGACGAAAUAAGACACUAGGGAAGCUAAUGUGAGACACUAGUGCCCAAAUCACUUUAGACACGACUGAUAUGGCUGAUGAGGUAAGACAUCUGCAAAAGUAACCUCCUAUGUCUCUCAUGGAGGAAUGCUGCCAUAGAAAGACAGCCCAGGUGGUACCGUGUCUGCAGACUGCUCCAGGGCCCACAGUCCUCCUGGUGGUCUCAGAAGAGCCGAUCACAAGCUGCUGGCCCCACUCUUUGCAGUUGCUAAGCUGUUGUCUCAAGGAGAAUCCAGCUGACAUAGAGGUCCAUAUGUGAGGAAAACAGCCACCUUCAGGUCUGACCAUUCUAAUUUCUACAUGUUGAACAAGCUUGCUGUGGCUGUUUUUGCUGUGCAUAAGCUACUCUGAAUAUGCAUACAGUUUUGAUAAGUGACCAAAGCCAGCUUUUUUCCCUUCACCAAAUAUCUCAUUCAUCUUUCUCAGUCUUAUAGUUCUCCUUACUGCAGACCAUUUUGAUAUUCUGCCAUUCAUGCCACCAGCUUCUCAUUUAUGAAAGAGAAGCAAAAUAAAAUAAACCAAGCAGAAAUAAAGCAGUUUGCUUCAUGCAUAUUCCAAGUUUGAAUCCUGUCUUUAGACUGAUACUUCACAUUCUGUUUUACUUUGAACACAUUCCUGUAUGUUUUCCCAUAGUCUUGCUUCAAGCAAGCAAGACAAGCUGUUCUGAAACUUGCUCUUCCAUCCAAAUACAUGCUACUGAUUUGUGUUUAUAUAUAUGCGUGUGAAUAUAUACUUAUUAUGUGUGUAUGUAUAUAAACUUGCCCAGUCAUCAGGCUACAGUCCACUUUGCUGAAUGUUGAAAUACAUCCAUUGUUGCUACUCCACCCAACUUGAGAAGUUAUACUGGGGCUUUCUUAGACUUGGAAUUUUCCUGUUUUGAACUGUUAAUUAUUUUAAUUAUGAAUAUUAUCUAAGACUUUAAUAAAGGUAGUUUUACCUGUACAAUCUGUACCAUUUAAUUGUCCCCCAUACUGUUUCUCAUUGUAUGAUCAGUGUCUGACCAUCCCUUGUUGUUCUUAUUAGACUCUCACAAGUUAAUCAUUUAUUAAUUCUGGUUUGCAGUUAAAACACUUCCAGUAUUGACAUGCAGAUCAAACAUCUCAGAGUUUUACUGCCACCUCCUGACCUCUGGCACAACUACUGAUAUUUUUUUCAAUCUUGUUUAGUGGUUUGGAUUUGCCUAAAUAAGUCUCUUAGCACCACCAAACUGGGUUGGACAUGGCUGGA